Molecule: ribosomal RNA, 252 nt
Filed under: uncultured bacterium
Lineage: Bacteria
Description: partial 16S ribosomal RNA
Rfam family: Bacterial small subunit ribosomal RNA
Source: RNAcentral
ACGAAGGGGGCUAGCGUUGUUCGGAAUCACUGGGCGUAAAGCGCACGUAGGCGGGUUUGUAAGUUAGGGGUGAAAUCCCGGGGCUCAACCUCGGAACUGCCCUUGAUACUGCAAGCCUAGAGUCCGAGAGAGGUGAGUGGAAUUCCUAGUGUAGAGGUGAAAUUCGUAGAUAUUAGGAAGAACACCAGUGGCGAAGGCGGCUCACUGGCUCGGUACUGACGCUGAGGUGCGAAAGCGUGGGGAGCAAACAGG